AACGGUGAAAGAGAGCUUGCUCUCUGGAUCAGUGGCGAACGGGUUGAGUAACACGUGAGCAAUCUGCCCCUGACUCUGGGAUAAGCGUUGGAAACGACGUCUAAUACCGGAUACGAGCUGCGAAGGCAUCUUCAGCAGCUGGAAAGAACUUCGGUCAGGGAUGAGCUCGCGGCCUAUCAGCUAGUUGGUGAGGUAAUGGCUCACCAAGGCGUCGACGGGUAGCCGGCCUGAGAGGGUGACCGGCCACACUGGGACUGAGACACGGCCCAGACUCCUACGGGAGGCAGCAGUGGGGAAUAUUGCACAAUGGGCGCAAGCCUGAUGCAGCAACGCCGCGUGAGGGACGACGGCCUUCGGGUUGUAAACCUCUUUUAGCAGGGAAGAAGCGAAAGUGACGGUACCUGCAGAAAAAGCACCGGCUAACUACGUGCCAGCAGCCGCGGUAAUACGUAGGGUGCAAGCGUUAUCCGGAAUUAUUGGGCGUAAAGAGCUCGUAGGCGGUUUGUCGCGUCUGCUGUGAAACCCCGAGGCUCAACCUCGGGCCUGCAGUGGGUACGGGCAGACUAGAGUGCGGUAGGGGAGAUUGGAAUUCCUGGUGUAGCGGUGGAAUGCGCAGAUAUCAGGAGGAACACCGAUGGCGAAGGCAGAUCUCUGGGCCGUAACUGACGCUGAGGAGCGAAAGGGUGGGGAGCAAACAGGCUUAGAUACCCUGGUAGUCCACCCCGUAAACGUUGGGAACUAGUUUGUGGGGUCCAUUCCACGGAUUCCGUG
This 771-nucleotide ribosomal RNA is filed under the name Microbacterium sp. 42AGV. RNAcentral's name for it is "bacterial SSU rRNA". It matches the Rfam family "Bacterial small subunit ribosomal RNA", at positions 65 to 845 of the family's 1533-position model. The record is from RNAcentral. Lineage: Bacteria; Bacillati; Actinomycetota; Actinomycetes; Micrococcales; Microbacteriaceae.